RNAcentral lists this long non-coding RNA (333 nucleotides) under Nicotiana benthamiana. Its description in RNAcentral is "long non-coding RNA (NBEN_LNC032746)". Lineage: Eukaryota; Viridiplantae; Streptophyta; Magnoliopsida; Solanales; Solanaceae. The record is from RNAcentral.
CGAAACUGCUGCUUUUUGAUGAAUUAAUCACUGCAACUAAGGAUAUUUAGGAAUAUGUCCCUGCCAUUGUAUGGAUUAAAUUCUUAUAGCAUGACUUUUUGAUGAAUUAAUCACUGCAACUAAGGAUAUUUAGGAAUAUGUCCCUGCCAUUGUAUGGAUUAAAGUCUAUGAAAACCUGCCACUUUGGUUAGGAUACAAGGACUUUGGUUUUCUAUUAUCUUUUCUUAAUAGAACUUUCUAUUCAGCACGUUUUAUUUUUGGUUUGUCUGGGGUAAAGGUGGAGGUAGAGAGGGGUAAUAUGUGGUUUAAACUUUGAGAUUUUCUCGAAACGGC